Molecule: ribosomal RNA, 353 nt
Filed under: uncultured Coriobacteriales bacterium
Lineage: Bacteria; Bacillati; Actinomycetota; Coriobacteriia; Coriobacteriales
Description: bacterial SSU rRNA
Rfam family: Bacterial small subunit ribosomal RNA
Source: RNAcentral
AGUAGUUUGAUCAUGGCUCAGGACGAACGCUGGCGGCGUGCUUAACACAUGCAAGUCGAACGGGGAUCAUUAGGAUGAGAGCUUCGGCAGGAUUCCGGAUGAUUCUAGUGGCGGACGGGUGAGUAACGCGUGAGCAAUCUGUCCCAGACAGGGGAAUAACACUUGGAAACAGGUGCUAAUACCGCAUAAGACCACAGUAUCGCAUGGUACAGGGGUAAAAGGAGCAAUCCGGUUUGGGGUGAGCUCGCGUCCGAUUAGAUAGUUGGUGAGGUAACGGCCCACCAAGUCGACGAUCGGUAGCCGACCUGAGAGGGUGAUCGGCCACAUUGGAACUGAGAGACGGUCCAAACUCC